GUAGGUGGCAAGCGUUGUCCGGAAUUAUUGGGCGUAAAGCGCGCGCAGGCGGUUCUUUAAGUCUGAUGUGAAAGCCCACGGCUCAACCGUGGAGGGUCAUUGGAAACUGGAGAACUUGAGUACAGAAGAGGAAAGCGGAAUUCCACGUGUAGCGGUGAAAUGCGUAGAGAUGUGGAGGAACACCAGUGGCGAAGGCGGCUUUCUGGUCUGUAACUGACGCUGAGGCGCGAAAGCGUGGGGGAGCAAACAGGAUUAGAUACCCUGGUAGUCCACGCCGUAAACGAUGAGUGCUAAGUGUUAGGGGGUUUCCGCCCCUUAGUGCUGCAGCUAACGCAUUAAGCACUCCGCCUGGGAGUACGGCCGCACGGCUG
This 371-nucleotide ribosomal RNA is filed under the name uncultured organism. RNAcentral's name for it is "partial 16S ribosomal RNA". It matches the Rfam family "Bacterial small subunit ribosomal RNA", at positions 527 to 896 of the family's 1533-position model. The record is from RNAcentral.